Danio rerio (zebrafish) is the source of this 879-nucleotide non-coding RNA. The record is from Ensembl. Lineage: Eukaryota; Metazoa; Chordata; Actinopteri; Cypriniformes; Danionidae.
GCGUGCUGGCUGUUUACACUAACUUACAGUUCCGCCUGUGCGCCAAAUUCAAACGAGAAGGAAUUCGUUUUUGAGUGUAAACACUUUAUAUUUGCGUGUUUUAUUUUCAUCUAAGCCAAUCAAAAUGUUUUCACAAGACACGGAUUAAUAGAGGAGUAAUAUGAACUAGCCUACUUUUAUAACACGUUUAAGGGCUGUUUGGAGUUUGAGAGCUAGAGUACAGCACAGUCGCCAUUUUUUACAGAUGAAUCGUCAACACAAGCUUGGAUCGACAUUAAAUGACGAUGCCCAUGAGGAAUGCAGGGUGGAGGCUGGUCUGUGAAGACAUCUUCAAAACCACAGAAACACACUUUUCAUCAUGAAACUCUGCAAUCUUUCUUCUGUCCGUGCUCUUCUGAUCAAACAUGUCCUCUGGCCUGAAGGUUUUUACAGAGUUCCUCUCCUUCAAGCAAUGCUGAACACCAGCACCGCAUAGCCAGAGAAAGGGUUUUUGAAACCUGACAUUUCCUCAGAGUCCCCUGCUGACUUAAUCAUGGCAAAUAUUGCAUGUCAUUUGUUUGCCACGCAUGGACCUGGCUGAUGGUAGUAGUAGUAAUUCACCACCGCUGUGCGCCGGUUCCUGGAGUGCACUCCAGUGAUGGUGUCGUGCACGUCAGCGCAUAGACAUGACAACCAGGAUCAUCACCAAACUGAGACCAUGCUUGGAACAGAGUAUUGCUUCAGUAACACACUCUACACUGUAUGCUGCAUUUAAACAAAACACUGAAACCGUGUGUGUGCAGUCAUUUACAAUGUUUUAUACACAUUAUUUAUGCUUUUAAUUGUGUGGCAUUGUGCUUUUAUUUAAGUGAAUAGCAUUAUUAAAAUAUUUUAUUAUAU